UUCAAACGCGGACGCCCCUUUAACGGCCGGUUGCUGCCGCCGCCAUUGUGUCCAGUCGGCCGUGGUGAGGUGACCGUCGCGGGCUCGUUAUGCGCAGCUUUGGAAGGAGACUGUUAUUGGAAGAAACUAAAUGUACAUUUCUCCGUUAUGAAGACAUCCGACACUGGCCGUUCAGCACCAUCCCACACAUCUUCUCCUCGCGCUGAGACCGGGUUCCCCAUCAUCCGGACCCCGCAGGCGGAUCUCCUGCAGUUCCACUGAUCGAGACCCCGAACCAGCAGAGCUCCGCGCGCCCUCGGACACACACCCCCUUUGAGGUAGGUAACUGAGCACGGGGGACACCCCCCAGGAAGAGGGACGAUGUCGGGUCCACUUU
Molecule: long non-coding RNA, 376 nt
Filed under: Scleropages formosus (Asian bonytongue)
Lineage: Eukaryota; Metazoa; Chordata; Actinopteri; Osteoglossiformes; Osteoglossidae
Description: lncRNA (ENSSFOG00015032137.1)
Source: RNAcentral